CACGUAGGGUGCGAGCGUUGUCCGGAAUUAUUGGGCGUAAAGAGCUCGUAGGCGGUGUGUCGCGUCGGCCGUGAAAACCUGUGGCUUAACUAUGGGCUUGCGGUCGAUACGGGCAUCACUGGAGUUCGGCAGGGGAGACUGGAAUUCCUGGUGUAGCGGUGAAAUGCGCAGAUAUCAGGAAGAACACCCGUGGCUAAGGCGGCUCUCUAGUACGGUACUGACGCUGAGACGCGAAAGCGUGGGGAGCGAACAGG
Molecule: ribosomal RNA, 254 nt
Filed under: uncultured bacterium
Lineage: Bacteria
Description: partial 16S ribosomal RNA
Rfam family: Bacterial small subunit ribosomal RNA
Source: RNAcentral